GUGCGGCGGCGUGCUACUCUCCCACACCCUGUCGGGUGCAGUACCAUCGCCGUGCCAGGCCUUAGCUUCCGGGUUCGGAAUGGGACCGGGCGUCUCACCUGGGCCAUGGCCGCCGCA
Molecule: ribosomal RNA, 117 nt
Filed under: Bifidobacterium breve 31L
Lineage: Bacteria; Bacillati; Actinomycetota; Actinomycetes; Bifidobacteriales; Bifidobacteriaceae
Source: RNAcentral